GUUAGAGCCCAGGCUUCUAUGUUUGAAAGAUUCCUGCUGAGCUGGAAGUGUCUUCUUCCUGGCUCUCUCUCCUGAGUGGGGAUUAUUUUAUGACUCCCUGGGCUUGAAGUCUCUUCUUCUUGGCUCUCUGUGAGGCCUCUGUUUUCUCUAUUGGAUUCCGCUGCUCUUGUGGGAACUUCUCAGUUCGCUGAAACCCCCUUCUUGGACCUCUGCUGACUGCUCCAUGGUGCAUCGCUUGAUUAAUUUUGAGACCAUGCUGCUUGCCUAAGAAUUUCCAGAGUGAAUGGAGAAGCUGAUUCAUAAAACUGCUAACCCGAGAUCAAGCAGAGCAAGAAUUAGUUCAUGGGACUGAAUCAACUAAUGAGGAUGAUUAUAACUUUUUUAAAUCACUUUUUGUUUAAAACUUUGCUGGCUUUUUAAUAUUUUAUUUUCCAGAUUUAAGGAAACCUUUUUCUCUUUUCUUUUAAGCUUUCUAUGACUUACAGCAAUUUGGUAAAUUAUACCUUUGUGAACAGAACUGAAGCAUUUGUCUUUUCUCCCUACCUGAUCCCUCCAGAAUUUGGAAACGCUUAGUCUUCUUAUUUUCAUGGAAAUAUAGUUAUUUGAACAAGCUCAACAAGAAUCUGUUCUCCUUAUAACAAGACACAAUUGGAAGCACUGGUUAUAUUACCAAGGGUUUGAGUGGAACGUCAUAUUUGAGAAUGGUGUGCAUCAAGUCAGGUAUGACCAGACAGCUUAAAGGAACUAGAGUUGACUUUAAGGAGCCAGUGCUUAGAAAGGCCCCCUUGGAAAAGGCAGCCUGUAUCUGAUUUACAGUGUUCCCCAUCUUACAGGUGAGUAAAGAAGGUCACUUCCUGGCAGGACUAGGAACCACAGGAUAUUGUGGGGACGUUGAAAAGAGAGGAAUUCACCCAAAUGAGUACAUAUUGCAGGCAAAAUAUGGUAGUGAAUUCUUGGCUUGGCUUCCCAGCCUUGAGAGGUUUUAACAAGUCCAAUCUGGGAUUCCUUAUGAAAAGUUCCAGCAAAGCAAACUCGAAAAAAGACCUCUGCAAGCUCUUGUUGCACUUAUGUAAAUAAUCAGGCCAAGCUUAAUGAGACCAGACUUUCUUCACAAACAAAUUAGUCUUAUUUUGAUUAUCUUUGAAAUCAAGAAAUGGGGUGACUAAUAGAAAGAAUUUGUUUUUUUGUUUCAAUGGAAAACUAUAGUGCACCCUUGUGGGUUCUGUCUUGCACAUUUUGCCAAUCCUUACUAAAUCCUGAAUUCUUCUAGUUUCCUCCAAUAUCUGGUUACAACUCCCCAGAUUAAUGUUUCUCAUUUGUUUCCCUUCCGAUUUGGAACUAAAACUACCCUUUCCCCGAAUCUCUGCAAGCAGAAGCUGGACGACUUGAUAUAAACUUAAAAAAAAUGAUGACAACAGAUCACGUAUGGGCAAUCUUCAUGCCUUCUGCUGCAUGGACCAUUCAGAAAGUUCACUGGAGCACCUGAUGCCAUCACCAGAGGCAUUCAAACUGCAGAUGGGGGACAUUCAUUGGAUGGCCGCUGCCAUCCUCAUUCCAUCUUCUACAGAUGCUUCAAGCUCAAGUCUAAAAAUCUUGACUGGCUGCCCUCUGGACUCAGCAACUGGGUUUAUAACUAUUAAUCUUUGUUUUUCUUUUAUUUUCAUAGAAACUGCUUUCAUUAAAUGCCUGAUUGCUGGCACCGUCUAGC
Equus caballus (horse) is the source of this 1708-nucleotide long non-coding RNA. The record is from Ensembl. NCBI's taxonomy places the organism in Eukaryota, Metazoa, Chordata, Mammalia, Perissodactyla, Equidae.